This 497-nucleotide ribosomal RNA is filed under the name uncultured bacterium. RNAcentral's name for it is "partial 16S ribosomal RNA". It matches the Rfam family "Bacterial small subunit ribosomal RNA", at positions 28 to 507 of the family's 1533-position model. The record is from RNAcentral.
GAUGAACGCUGGCGGCGUGCCUAGUACAUGCAAGUCGAGCGAACAGAUAAGGAGCUUGCUCCUUUGACGUUAGCGGCGGACGGGUGAGUAACACGUGGGUAACCUACCUAUAAGACUGGAAUAACUCCGGGAAACCGGGGCUAAUGCCGGAUAACAUUUAGAACCGCAUGGUUCUAAAGUGAAAGAUGGUUUUGCUAUCACUUAUAGAUGGACCCGCGCCGUAUUAGCUAGUUGGUAAGGUAACGGCUUACCAAGGCAACGAUACGUAGCCGACCUGAGAGGGUGAUCGGCCACACUGGAACUGAGACACGGUCCAGACUCCUACGGGAGGCAGCAGUAGGGAAUCUUCCGCAAUGGGCGAAAGCCUGACGGAGCAACGCCGCGUGAGUGAUGAAGGUCUUCGGAUCGUAAAACUCUGUUAUUAGGGAAGGACAAAUGUGUAAGUAACUGUGCACGUCUUGACGGUACCUAAUCAGAAAGCCACGGCUAACUACGUG